This is a non-coding RNA of Sphaerobolus stellatus SS14, 70 nucleotides long. The record is from the annotation of a GenBank genome assembly. NCBI's taxonomy places the organism in Eukaryota, Fungi, Basidiomycota, Agaricomycetes, Geastrales, Sphaerobolaceae.
GCACUAAUGGGGUAGUGGUAACCUUAGUCGUUCCCAUCAACUAGCGUCGAGUUCGAUUUUACUUAGUGCA